Molecule: long non-coding RNA, 215 nt
Filed under: Lathyrus oleraceus (garden pea)
Lineage: Eukaryota; Viridiplantae; Streptophyta; Magnoliopsida; Fabales; Fabaceae
Description: Pisum sativum (pea) long non-coding RNA (PSAT_LNC039932)
Source: RNAcentral
CGGGUGCUGGUGCAGCUGGUGCUGGUGCUUCUUCUGGUGCUGCUGAAGAUGAUGAUGAUGAUGAUGAUGCUACCGGUUCUGAAGCCGGUAGUGAAUAGGGUUAUGAGUCCUUGGAGGGCUAAGUUUGUUUUAUUUUUCAUAUUAUGUUUUAUUUUUAUUGUAUUUUCAGAUUUGUUGUAUUUUUAUUUUGGUUAUGUACUUUUGGGGUGUUUUGU